AACCCCAUCAGUACUUUAUUUAAACAUUUAUCUAAAAAUGUAAAAAGUUUAAAAAUAUGUCGUUCUUGUCUUCAAAUACUGACUUCCAAUGCUCGUGAGGAGUGGAGAGCUAGGCAAGGUGUGGGACAAGGCCCUAUGGAGAUUGCCCUGGCCAUCCUAUCACCAUGC
Molecule: long non-coding RNA, 168 nt
Organism: Dipodomys ordii (Ord's kangaroo rat)
Lineage: Eukaryota; Metazoa; Chordata; Mammalia; Rodentia; Heteromyidae
Exons: 4
Source: RefSeq, a predicted model, not a curated record